Molecule: long non-coding RNA, 5264 nt
Filed under: Sus scrofa (pig)
Lineage: Eukaryota; Metazoa; Chordata; Mammalia; Artiodactyla; Suidae
Description: lncRNA (ENSSSCG00000052030.1)
Source: RNAcentral
CUACCUUCUAUUUCAUCUGGCCUUAUAACUUUUGUUCUAGGAGCCCUGAAACUCUUGAAAUAGCAUUAGUAGCCCCCAUAUGUUGCAGUCUGGCUACAUGUCAGGCAUAAUAGCCCUUCCUUUAGAUACAUGAUGUCUUCUAAUCCUUAGGUCAGUUUGGGAAGUAGGUAGAAUUAUUUGCAUUUUAUAGAUGAGGAAAUGAUUUGCAUUACUCAGCUAAUAAGUGGUAGAAAAGGGACUUAAACAUGAAUCUGAAGGCCUUGCCAAGGUUGUCUCUACCCACCAUGCUAUGUCUUACCUUUCUGCCUACUUUCUGCAUGUAACACCUUUCCCCCAGCCCUUUAUUCCAUGUGGCUUCACUAACUCUGCUAAUUCUCUAGAACUCAGAGCUAGUAUCUCUUAUUAUCUCUGGUGCUAGAUUAGAUAUCUCCUUGGUACUUUAAAUAUCUUGGUGUAACUCUAGUGCUAUAACUAUAUGAUAAUUUAAUGAUCACACUAUGUAUCUGUAUGUCUGUCAUUCCCACUAGACCACCAGGGCAGAGACCAUGUUGUUUCUUUGUUAUAUAUCCAGAGUAGAGUCAAAGUAACAACUCAAUAAAUAUUUUUAAUCUUUUUAAAUCAGAGUAUAGUUGAUUUACAGUGUUGUGUCCAUUUCUGCUGUACAGCACAGUGACCCAGUCAUAUAUAUAUAUGUCCUUUUUCUCACAUUAUCUUCCAUCAUGGUUUAUCCCAAGAAACUGGAAAUAGGCAUUCUUCAUUUGUGUUAUUUGAUUGCUAGCACUGUCUUUUGACUCUUUUUCAGAGUUUCUGCUUUCUCUGAAUAUGUUUAUUUCUGAUGUUUCCUCCUCUAUUUUCUUUUUCGUGUAGUUGAUUUACAAUGUUGUGUCAAUUUCUGCUGUACAGCAGUGACCCAGUCAUAUAUAUUUUUUUUCUCAUAUUAUCUUCCAUUAUCUUCUAUUGCAACACACUAGAUAUAUUUCCCUGUGCUAUAUAGUAUUACCUCAUUGCUUAUCCAUUCUCAAUGUGAUAGUUUUCAUCUACUAACCCCAAACUCGCAGUCCAUCCCACUCCCUCCCCCUUGCACUAGGCAACCACAAGUCUGUUCUCUAGGUCUGUAUCUGUUUCUGGUUGUAGAUAGGUUCAUUUGUGCUACAUUUUAGAUUUCACAUAUAAGUGAUAUCAUAUGGUAUUUGUCUUUCUCUGACUGACUUAUUAUGAGAAUUUCUAGCUGCAUCCAUGUUGCUGAAAAUGGCAUUAUUUCAUUCUUUUUUAAGGCUGAGUAGUAUCCCAUUGUGUAUAUGUACCACCUCUUCUUAAUCAAUUCAUCUGUUGAUGGAAAUUUAGGUUGUUUCCAUGUCUUGGCUAUUGUGAACAGUGCUGCAAUGAACAUAGAGGUGCAUGUAUCUUUCUGAAUUAUAAUUUGUCUGGGUAUAUGCUCAGGAAUGUGAUUGCUGAAUCAUAUGAUAGUUCUAUAUUUAGUUUUCUGAGGAACCUCCAUACUUUUUCCCAUAGUGGAACAACUCAACAGACAUUUUCUGGGUGAGUGUGUGAAUGGCGAUAGACCACAGAGUUCUUGAUGCUUCCAUGUUACACCUUGCUAACUUGUAUAAAGAUUUUGUAUUCACUUACCAAAUUUUCAGACACAAUUUUUUAGUCAUGAGAUUAAGUUGUGAGACAGAACUCAAAUUCAACAUUAUCUUUAAUUUAUACUGGAAACAGAGUUUAAAACUUUUAAAGAACAUUGCUUAAAUGAAUAGAUUUAAAAUUAAUAUGUCUCCUCUUAUACUAUUAAUCCUCUUUGCAUUUUACAUACACCUGCACUUACUUUGUAACACUCAGGUCACAAUACAUCUCAUUCACAUGUAAAAUGCAAAAAGAAAAAUGCAUGCAUGUUUCUCUUUACAUUGAUGAUUAUAUUUUAAACAGGUCUGAAUAUUUUUCACAAUUUUCAUCUUAAUUACGACCUAAUAGUUCACUGAGUUGAUUUUAGUAACUCUAUUCUGCUAAUCUUGGAUAUAAAUGCUUUUUCCAUAUUUUAGAAUCAUAGACAGCUAUGCUGUGCAUGUGUUUUUGUUUCUGAUGAAUUAUGUCUUAGGAGAAACUCCGGAGUCUAAAGUUUAGAUCAUAGUGUGUGUAUAUAUCUUUAUUAUUCUUAAUAUAUUGCCUUCCAGAAAUGAUAUAUCAAUUCAAAUGAUCAUAGUAAGUAAAUGAAAACAACACAUUUCUUCAACUUUAACCAGCAAUGGGUACCAUUUUACAAAUGCAUUAGCUGCUUUUAGCGGUGAUUAAAGGUAACUCCAGGCUCCAUCACAGAUGGUCUUUUCCCCUGUGUGUCUUUAUCACGGAUAUUCCUAUAUGUAAUUUUUGUGUUAAUGUCAUAGCUUAUUUGAUGUUUAAGUUCUCGAGGUUUUCCUUCUGAAUUUGAAUGAACCCUUCCUAUAUAAUAAAUGUUAAUUUGUCUGACAAUUUCAUUACAAAUAUGUUUCUUUUUUUAAUUAAAAUAGAGUUGAUUUACAGUGUUUCUUCUAUUUCUGUUGUACAGAAAAGUGACCCAAUCACACACAGUUCCCCGUACUGUACAGUAUGGCCCCAUUGUAUUCACUACAAGUAUUUUUCUUACUCUGUUUUUGUUAUACGACAAAGUUAAUUUACAUCCUUUUCACUUACAGGGGCCUUCAGUUUCUGUUGUGGCAGCAUGUCCUUCUGAGUUUCCUCUGUGGAUUCUUGUGUUGUGUAAGGCAUGGCUCUAACACUGUGAUUUUCAAAAUUGUCCUGUUUUAUUCUAAUAAGCUUAUUAAAUCAGCCUUCUUUGCUCCUCUCUUUGGGAAAACUGACUUGGCUUACCACAUAUGAUUUGGGCGUAUGUCUUUUGUGUCCACUGUUUUCUGCUGGUGUGCCUUUCUGUGUGUGUGAGCCAGUACCACACAGUUUUAAGUUCCAAUACUUCUGUGUAAGUUUAAAGUCUGAGAUGGAUAGAUUUCCUUCUUUCUUCUCCUUUUCAGAUUGUCUAUUAUAGUUUUGCCUUUUGUCAUGUUUUUCAAGCAAAUUUUCUGUUGCAGCUUUAAAAAUCAUAUUGCCAUUUUGAUUGAAAUUGUGCUAACUGUAAAUUGCCUUGGAGUGAACAGAUAGAUUUAUAAUAUCCAGUCUCACUGAGGCAAAAACUCUCCCUGUCCAUUUAUUUUAAUUUUUUUAAAUUUCUAAUGAGGAUUUAUAUGUUUCUAUAGAAGACUUUUGCUCUUGGAUUUCUCUCUGGUGCAGCGGAUUAACAAUGCAGCAUUGUCACUGCUGUGGCACAGGUUUGAUCCCAGGCCCAGGAACUUCCAAAUGCUGCAGGGGCAGCCAAAAAAAAAAAAAGGCUUUUGUUCUUAUUUUGUACAGUAUAAACUUUAGGGUUUUAGAUUGCUUUUUAAUAAAAUAAUGGCUAACAUUUACCAAGCAUGUAAUAUGCACUAGAUACCAAGUUAUGUGUUUUAUGUAUAUUACCUCAUGAAAGACCUCUCUAAAAUAGCCACUCUCUAAAGUUAUUACCAUAAUGCCUAUGAGGAAGCUGAGGUUUUGGCUGGUCAUAUAAUCUGUCCAAGGCUACAUGACUGUUAAACAGUAGAGCUGAGGUUGGCACACAGGACUGUCUGACCUUAAAUGCCAUGCUCUUAACCACCAACCUAUACAUAGAAAACUGGAAUUAUGAGUUACUAGGGUAAUGAAAGGUAGCCAGAAUAAAAGCAAAAACCUUGUGCUAAGAUCAGAAGAAAAAGGUCAAUAUCUGUUCAGAAUGUGAAAAAGAGUUCAUAUUUUCUAUACAGUGUCAGCUAAGAAAGUGGCAUGAUUGUUCAAAACAAAGUAAUGAAAGCCAGUUCUGUAUUAAUGGACAUAGGAUGCCAGUUUGUGGAAGGGGAUUGUACCAGUGGAUCAAUAUCUAGAGAGCUAUCUUCUCAGCUUCCUAUUUUGAAAGUGGUCUUUCUAACGGGGAGUUUCAUCAGGGGAUGAUAACGUGAGAAAGAGGAAUUAUGUAGAAUAAAUUGAUGAAGAAUGGGAACUUUCAGCAUGGUUUAAAGAAGACACCUGAAGGGUUGUUUAGAGGAAUAGACAUGUGGUGAAGUAAGGUUUCUGGGAGACAGAUUUUGGUUCCAGUAAAUUUUUAAAGAAUUAGCCUGUCUAACAGGGAAACUGGAUUCUUUGUAUUUCGUGAGCCUCUCAUCCUUUGAAUUUGAGCAGAGACUCAAAUAUAGGAACCCUAGGCUCCCCAAACACAACCACUAUUUACAUUUUGUAAUUUGUACAAUUUACACUUACACAAAUUACAUUUGUAGUGAUGCUCCAUCUUUUCUCAAGCUUUCUUUUACAUGGUUAUAAUCAUGCCUUACAUUAAUUUAGAAUUUUGCUUUUUUCCCUUAUCAUUGUAGAUUAGGGAAUCAGAUUACUUGAUAUGCUCCCAUGUGCAAAGAGAAUAUAGCUUUUUAAAUUUCUAGAGCUAACGUGAGCUUUCUCAUCAACCUGGUAGGUAUUUGGAAAACUUGACAAUUAAUGAUAGCUUAGUCUUUGCCAGCUAAACAGUCUGUGUCUGUAAAAUAGUAAGUUCAACCCUCUCUUCCAGGGUUGGCUGAAGUAAUUCCUUGGAUGAUUGGGUCUAUUACAAUGUUUCAGAUUUCUGUCCUUCCCUCCCCUUCUUUACAAGAUGGGAUCUGGGUGCAGUUUGGAGUGGGGGGGGGGCGGAAAGGGAAUGGGGGAGGAGGCUGGAGUGAGCAGGUAAACGGUUUAUGUGAGAUCAUGGUAAGGAAGAAAGAGGUCUCAGUGUUUUCAUUUAUUCCAAUUCCUGGCUUCUGCUAGCUCACUGGCCUUCUCAGAACCUCCCCAAUCACUCUCUUGAACCCAUUCAGACAUGGGGUCCCCAGAAUAGAGAGCACAUGCAGUAUUCAGAGGGAAUCAGAAGAACGGUUUUAAGGUCAUCCAACCAUCUUCAUCAACCAGUUUUAUACCAUCUCUCCUAUAUUAUUUGGGAUGUGGUGCUAAGUUGAAGGUGAGAUUCUUUCUAAUGGAGAAAAGGGCAACAAAUAUGUGUAUUCAACUUUCUCUUCAACCUAUGGAAAAGCUUAAAACAUCUGCCUCAGAGCAGAAGUCAAGUCCUGUGAGCUUUCCACUUUCUUCUUCAGAUUCUCCUCCCUUGUUUGGACUCUCCCCUGUCUCAGCAUAAAUAGAAUGGUUCUUUCCUCUUCCUGUCUGUUUAGCAAUACCAUACAAUACUAUCUAUUUUGUGUUUUCUGUAC